This is a long non-coding RNA of Perca fluviatilis (European perch), 252 nucleotides long. RefSeq lists it as uncharacterized. Lineage: Eukaryota; Metazoa; Chordata; Actinopteri; Perciformes; Percidae. The transcript is spliced from 3 exons. The record is from RefSeq and is a predicted model, not a curated record.
CCGCACGAGUAAAGCACCGGGCAGCGCCAUCUUUAAACUACAAUUUCUUCUUCUGGGCAUCGCGCUGAAGCAGACACCAGCGGCACACUUUGGCGAGGAGGCUGGUGGUCCUUGGGCAACGACACUACAGCAGACCCUCCUUCCUGUGUGGCCACUUUCAUCCCCUGGAUCAGUGAGACCACGGCCCAAAACUGAAGAAGUUUCCAUAACCGAAGAAGUGACUGGACAAUAAACUGUAUAAUGACAUUUUAA